Molecule: long non-coding RNA, 338 nt
Organism: Symphalangus syndactylus (siamang)
Lineage: Eukaryota; Metazoa; Chordata; Mammalia; Primates; Hylobatidae
Source: RefSeq, a predicted model, not a curated record
CGGAGGAAAUGAGCACACAGGGGGCGAUGAUGUUGAUGACGUAGAAGAGGGGCUUGCGCUGGAUGAGCAGUCCACAGCCACUUGAGCACGGCCUAAUAGAACUGAGGACUCACCUGGUGGUUGAACCAAGACCUGCUGCCAGCAGCGUCACCAUGAGGCAGAGAGAAGCAAAGACUGCGGCUGAAGGCCCUAGACUCUCAUCUCUGUGCACAAGACAGACCCUCCCUGAGUUGAUGGACUAUUCCUGGGGAAGUCUCAGACUUCCUGCUCACCUGACAGGUGUGAGAACAAACUGGCUUUCCUAUUUAGACAGGAAAAUUAAAGAUGUGUACCUUGAA